CUCAAAACGUGGCGAGUCCUAAACUUUCGUCUGUCGACUCUCUCUUCUUCUCCCUCUCUCUCUCUCUCUCGGGCAAAGUCUCUCACUUUAAUUCUCUCUCUGUCUAUAACUCUCUAUCUCUGUUAGAUUCUGCCAAUAUACCGGUGGUCGCCACCGAAACCGUAUACGAUACGCUAUUUUUUUUUUCUUUUUCAUUUCGGCGAGCUGGCUGCCUGAGCUUCAGCUACUACCUUUUGUUUUUAUUAUAGAGAAAUUUUAAAGUUUGUUAUGAGAAGAUUAUAAAACCCCUGGGUGUCUAUGACGUCACUCAGACCAUCACUGAAAAGGAAUGCCUUCCUUGAUGGGGGAAAAUGUGGAUUAAAAAUGAAGCAGUUGCCACUUAUGGGAAUUUUGUUUACAGCGAUGUUGUUCAUUGUGUAUAGAACCACAAUUUAUCAAUAUCAACAUACACAGGUACAGAUAUCCGAUUGCAUCUCUAAAUCUUCUAAGGAACAAAUGGGCAAACAAAAUCUUCUGCUGAUUAUCGUCCAGUGGUCAAUUUGUGGAUUAUUUUACUAUUUAUUUAUUUGCUUUUUUUUUUUUAUUAUUGCACUUUUAUCUAAUGAAUUCCAACAGCAGUGCUAUUGAUGGUAUUUGUUUAACUGUUUGAAGUAAUUUUCCAAUUGUAAUGUAAAUUCUCAGUAUCCAUACUGUUAUUCAUGUCACUUUUAAGAUUGAGUUAGAUUCUGCUUCUUGUAACAUUCAUAAGUUUGUAACAAUCAUCAGUUAAUAGUCCAUUUACAACAUCUCUACUGAUGGAUUUAGUCAGAGCAGCUUUGCUCUAGUAGUAGGUUUAGCUCGUUGUACUGAAUGGUGCUUCUUCUAUUAACCUUGUUUAUCUUUGUUCUCAUAUCAUGUUGGAAGUUUGCUCAUUUUUUUUUCUAUUCUUGUUCUGUUAUCAGAUGGAAUCAAAAUUACUCCCAUUUGACUCAUUAAAGGAAUCAGCUUUGGCUUCUGGAUUGUUGGGUGGUUUGCCUCUGGGCAUCAUACGGGCUAGUUCAGAUUUGGAGUUAAAGCCUCUAUGGUCAACAAGUAGCUCAAGGUCAAAGAUUGAUAAUUCUAGCCAUCGCAACUUGCUGGCUAUUCCAGUUGGUAUUAAGCAAAAGCACAAUGUUGAUGCCAUUGUCCAAAAGAGAAUUUUACUGUUAUUUUAUUCCAUUAUGAUGGCUUUCUGGAUGGGUGGUGGGAUCUUAAAUGGAGCAACAAGGCCAUACACAUAGUUGCUCAGAACCAAACAAAGUGGUGGUUUGCAAAGCGAUUUCUGCAUCCAGCUGUUGUGUCUAUCUAUGAUUACAUAUUUCUAUGGGAUGAAGAUUUAGGGGUCGCAAAUUUUGAUCCAGGAAGGUAAAUUAAUUUGCUUGUUGGAUAGUCAACUCUUCAGUGCGUUCCAUAUUGUUGGUCUUUGAGAAUGUUGUUACUUCUGUAUAUGUACUAUUAAUUUGAAAGUUUAUAAUUGGCUUAUGACCUUUCAUUCCUCCAAAAGAUUAGCAUCAUUCUUAUUCUAGGUGAUGUGAUCUUCUGUAUCUAGAGUGUUGAGGACAGUGGUGUAAGUGAUAAUUUAUAUUUAGAUCACCGAUAUAUCGAGAAAUUUGUUUGGUCUGCCUGGAAUCAUCUACAUUUCCUCUGUGGACAUCUUCCAAAUUUUGGUUUUUGUUAUUUAAUAUGCCAGUAUGCCAUCCGCUGCUAUUUAUCCUGCUCUCUACACUUAUGCAGGACCUGUAUUCACAACCCUCUUUAAUGUUUUAUUGCACUUUCGCUAGAUAAUUAAAUUUUGCUUGGCGAGUUAUCUUGAAAUUGUUAAUAGUAGCACAUUUGCAAUAUUUUGUCCAAUUUCUUGAUUUCUAGUUGUGCUUUACAAGGUUCAUAUUCUGUUCAGGAAAACAAUUAAUUGAUUGAUAGGUUUUUUUUACUAGAUACUUGGAAAUUGUAAGAUCAGAAGGGCUGGAGAUAUCUCAGCCAGCUUUAGACCCUAAUUCAACUGACAUACAUCAUAGAAUUACCAUAAGGUCCAGAAUGAAGAAGUUUCAUAGAAGAGUCUAUGAUAGCAGAGGCAGUACUAAAUGUUCUGAUGUCAGUGAGGGGCCUCCAUGCACUGGAUUUGUGGAAGGAAUGGCUCCUGUAUUUUCAAGAUCUGCUUGGUAUUGUGCUUGGCAUCUUAUACAGAAUGAUCUAGUCCAUGGAUGGGGAAUGGAUAUGAAACUCGGAUAUUGUGCACAGGUAAGAAAUUCCUGAGUUUUUUGACACAAGGCCUAACUGUUCAGUUUUCUUAUUUGUAUGUGGAAAAUAAUCAUGUGUAUCAUUGUAUCUGCAUCAUGUUUGUUAGACUUGUCCUGUCCUUUCUUUUCUUUUAGAUUAUAUUUGUUAAUGUUGAAACCAUAAUUAUGUGUCUGCAUAAAUGUGGCAUAAUGCACACAGGGAGAUCGCACGAAGAAGGUGGGAGUCAUUGAUAGUGAGUACAUUGUUCAUCAGGGCAUACAAACUUUGGGUGGGGGUGGACCUCCUGGAAAAAAGACUUCAACAACCAGUGAAGAAUUGACCAAGGUAAAACUUAACCAGUAAUAGCUGCUCCUCUCUUUUUUCCUUUUCAUACAAAUAUUUUAACAAUUAUGGUUAUUCUAAAUUUGUCACAAUUUUUUACCAUAUGUUUUCUUUCUUUAUAUUCAGAAAAGUGGUGCUUCACCCAUGGAUCCUCGAAUGGAGGUGAGACUACCGAUCCUCCAAUUCAUCAUCAUCAUAUUUAGUCUGACCAUUUUAUGUUUUUCUACCUUUUUACCGAGUUUAAUUGCCUGGAAUCUGGGAUGACUUUAUGGUUAAUGCAGCGAGCCUAGUUAGAUUGUUAUGGUUUUAUACACCUUGUAUUUGAUUAUUACAAAAUGAUUUGAAACAAGGUUCAAGUGUCAUUGGCACCUUCUUUCCUUUGGUUGUU
RNAcentral lists this unclassified non-coding RNA (2965 nucleotides) under Hevea brasiliensis (rubber tree). The record is from RNAcentral. Lineage: Eukaryota; Viridiplantae; Streptophyta; Magnoliopsida; Malpighiales; Euphorbiaceae.